RNAcentral lists this ribosomal RNA (253 nucleotides) under uncultured bacterium. Its description in RNAcentral is "partial 16S ribosomal RNA". It matches the Rfam family "Bacterial small subunit ribosomal RNA", at positions 524 to 776 of the family's 1533-position model. The record is from RNAcentral.
AACGUAGGACACAAGCGUUAUCCGGAGUUACUGGGCGCAAAGGGCGUGUAGGCGGAGAUGUAAGUCUAUUCUGAAAGCUCCUGGCUAAACUGGGAGAGGCGAAUGGAGACUGCAUAUCUAGAGUGAGGAAGAGGAAAGUGGAAUUCCGCGUGUAGCAGUGAAAUGCGUAGAGAUGCGGAGGAACACCGAUGGCGAAGGCAGCCCCCUGGGCUGACACUGACGCUGAGGCACGAAAGCGUGAGGAUCAAACAGG